ACGCUCGACACCUACGGGGGGCAGCAGUCGGGAAUAUUGCGCAAUGGAGGAAACUCUGACGCAGUGACGCCGCGUAUGGGAAGAAGGUUUUCGGAUUGUAAACCAUUUUAGACAAGGAAGAAACAAGACAGUACUUGUAGAAUAAGCUCCGGCUAACUACGUGCCGGCAGCCGCGGUAAUCUGAGCGGGCUGGCAAGGC
This 199-nucleotide ribosomal RNA is filed under the name uncultured bacterium. RNAcentral's name for it is "partial 16S ribosomal RNA". It matches the Rfam family "Bacterial small subunit ribosomal RNA", at positions 328 to 539 of the family's 1533-position model. The record is from RNAcentral.